RNAcentral lists this ribosomal RNA (38 nucleotides) under Tamarix androssowii. RNAcentral's name for it is "partial 28S ribosomal RNA". The record is from RNAcentral. Lineage: Eukaryota; Viridiplantae; Streptophyta; Magnoliopsida; Caryophyllales; Tamaricaceae. RNAcentral also lists the same sequence under 11 other names.
CCCAGGUCAGGCGGGGCUACCCGCUGAGUUUAAGCAUA